AGCGGAGGAAAAGAAACCAACAGGGAUUGCCUUAGUAGCGGCGAGUGAAGCGGCAAAAGCUCAAAUUUGAAAUCUGGCGCCUUCGGUGUCCGAGUUGUAAUUUGAAGAUUGUAACCUUGGGGUUGGCUCUUGUCUAUGUUUCUUGGAACAGGACGUCACAGAGGGUGAGAAUCCCGUGCGAUGAGAUGCCCAAUUCUAUGUAAGGUGCUUUCGAAGAGUCGAGUUGUUUGGGAAUGCAGCUCUAAGUGGGUGGUAAAUUCCAUCUAAAGCUAAAUAUUGGCGAGAGACCGAUAGCGAACAAGUACAGUGAUGGAAAGAUGAAAAGAACUUUGAAAAGAGAGUGAAAAAGUACGUGAAAUUGUUGAAAGGGAAGGGUUUGAGAUCAGACUCGAUAUUUUGUGAGCCUUGCCUUCGUGGCGGGGUGACCCGCAGCUUAUCGGGCCAGCAUCGGUUUGGGCGGUAGGAUAAUGGCGUAGGAAUGUGACUUUACUUCGGUGAAGUGUUAUAGCCUGCGUUGAUGCUGCCUGCCUAGACCGAGGACUGCGAUUUUAUCAAGGAUGCUGGCAUAAUGAUCCCAAACCGCCCGUCUUAA
RNAcentral lists this ribosomal RNA (592 nucleotides) under Meyerozyma guilliermondii. RNAcentral describes it as "eukaryotic LSU rRNA". It matches the Rfam family "Eukaryotic large subunit ribosomal RNA", at positions 49 to 657 of the family's 3401-position model. The record is from RNAcentral. Lineage: Eukaryota; Fungi; Ascomycota; Pichiomycetes; Serinales; Debaryomycetaceae.